Molecule: long non-coding RNA, 1244 nt
Organism: Bos taurus (domestic cattle)
Lineage: Eukaryota; Metazoa; Chordata; Mammalia; Artiodactyla; Bovidae
Source: Ensembl
AGAUUCUUCUGGUAAUUUCCUGUUGUUUGGCAUCUUCGGGUUACUUUCCCACAAUUACGGCUGCUGUUGAAGUCUGGGGCCCUUGGAAGUCAUUUUCUAACUCUCUUCUUGCCCUUUUCUGUCAUCCCACCGGGCAAGCAGCCUCUCACCCGCUGCCUCUAAGAAACGGGACAAUCAAAGUCUGAAACCAAGUGAAAAAAGUAGUUCAGGAGUUGUGGAUAUUCCACCCCCCACCCCCCUGCCUUUCCCAGAUGUUUGAAUUUAAUCCCCUCGCAAAAUACAUAUUUUAAUGAGUCUGAAUUUAAAAGAGGGGGAAAAAUGAUUUGCACCUGCAUCAUAUAGAGUUUCUUGGCAACCGCCGGCCAGAAUUCUGGUUCCUUCUGAUUCUCCAACGUACAAGUUGGAAGACUUCCUUGUGUUGUCCAGGAAUAUCUCAUCUCAGUGAAGCUGGGUCAGCUGGUUCUCCUGCUGGGAUUGAUUGACUCCAGUUGAACAGGGACCAAGAGGGGGCAAUCCCCAAACAAGAUUGGGUGUCAUUGCAAUGUCCCUUGCCUUAAAAAAAAAAAUGCCUCUGCUUCCCAGGUGGUGCUAGUGGUAAAGAGCCCGCCUGCCAAUGCAGGAGACUUAAGAGACAUGGGUUCGAUCCCUGGGUUGGGAAGAUCCCCUGGAGGAGGGCAUGGCAACCCACUCUAGUGUUCUUGCCUGGAGAAUUCCAUGGACAGAGGAACGUGGAGGUGGUGGCUCCCCUGGCAGAAGAGCCAAGGCCAUCCUGACUCUCAGAGGAAACUGACUUCUCCCUAACAGCUGAGCGGACUCAUUGAUUCAUGAAAACAGGAACUGUUAGAAGAAACCUCCAGGUUCUCAGAACCACAUCUCUAUGCUUCCCUACAUCUCUGUCCACACGCACCACCUUCUCUUCUGUUGCUUUGGAAGAACGGACUCAAAGCCACCCCUCCACUGACACACUUGAUGUCAUCUCUGAUCGACUCAAAGUACCAUCCCAGGAACUCUACCCUCGCUGUCCUAUGUAUCCAUUUCCAUCUCCUGGACUUUCCAUCAGAACACAAAUAUAAUUUUAUUUAUCUUUCUUUGGACUUCGCUGGUGAUCCAGUGGCUAAGACUCUGAGCUUCCAAUGCAGUGGGUCCGGGUUCCAUCCCUGGUCAGGGAACUAGAUCACACGUGCCUCAUCUAAAGAUCCCAUGUGCUGCAGCUAAGACCCGGCGUAGCCAAGUAAAUAAGUAAA